UACAGAGGGGGCAAGCGUUGUUCGGAAUUACUGGGCGUAAAGGGCGCGUAGGCGGCCUGCUAAGUCGAACGUGAAAUCCCUGGGCUCAACCCAGGAACUGCGUCCGAUACUGGUUGGCUUGAAUUCGGGAGAGGGAUGUGGAAUUCCAGGUGUAGCGGUGAAAUGCGUAGAUAUCUGGAGGAACACCGGUGGCGAAGGCGGCAUCCUGGACGGUAACUGACGCUGAGACGCGAAAGCGUGGGGAGCAAACAGG
RNAcentral lists this ribosomal RNA (253 nucleotides) under uncultured bacterium. RNAcentral's name for it is "partial 16S ribosomal RNA". It matches the Rfam family "Bacterial small subunit ribosomal RNA", at positions 524 to 776 of the family's 1533-position model. The record is from RNAcentral.